UUGUAAUACAAAUACAAGAUUAAAUUGUAAUUGAAAUUACAUUUCAGGGAAGUUGGCAAUAAUCCCCCUUGGUAACGGUUCCCACUGAAAACGGACUCUUCGCAACAUGAUCCGAUAUCUAUUGGAAUUGCUAUCCGAGUCAAUUUAAGUAACAAUAUACCAGACUAUUAUAACAAUACAAUCAAAUUGAAAUUGAAAUUCAAAUACAAAAUUUAAGUUACGUUUCAAGCAAAGUUGACAAUGGUGACUUAAGCUGAAUAAUAAUUAACAUCUGUAUCUUUGGAAAUCCAAUUCUAAUCUGAAUCUUGGCCAUUUUUGGGUCCGUUUUGGUAACGGUUUUCAUUCAAAGUCAUUACCCAGCCGGAUUGAGCCUCCAGGUCGCCAGACCGAACGCCGCCUUCGAUAAGAGAACCCAAGAAGAAGCAGUUGCGGCUACGCGUCUGUUCCCAGGAAUCAUUUUCCGAAUGGAAUAUUCUAGCCGCGAUUUAGGAUAAAAUUAUUAACACGUUAAGCGCUACGAAAAUCUUAAGCGUUUUCCCAUAGAGUUUGUCUUUUGUAGCAAAGAAAAGUAGGAAUACUUAUGAAUUGUUUGGCGUUGCAA
Non-coding RNA from Nomia melanderi (Alkali bee), 601 nucleotides. Lineage: Eukaryota; Metazoa; Arthropoda; Insecta; Hymenoptera; Halictidae. The record is from RefSeq and is a predicted model, not a curated record.